Molecule: non-coding RNA, 2017 nt
Organism: Phalacrocorax carbo (great cormorant)
Lineage: Eukaryota; Metazoa; Chordata; Aves; Suliformes; Phalacrocoracidae
Source: RefSeq, a predicted model, not a curated record
CCGGAUGUUUGGUUCUCUGUGGUUUCCGCCUCACUACUGCCGGGAUGUACUAUUUCCUCUCUCAGUGCGUAAAACCAGACUGGCUGGACUUAUCACUUAGGGUCAACUCCACUGUCAGCAACUGCUAACUUAUGCAGUUUUAAGAAAGCAUCUGAAUUUGGACAGCAAGGCAUUUCUCGUGACACUUGACAUGCACCCACUGACAUGGAUCCAAUAAGGACCUGAAGGAAGAGAAACACAAGCAUAUCCCCAUCCCCAGGUAAGCAGAGGAACUGGUCCUGCCCAUUGACCAGAUUCCAAAUUCUUAUAAAACACCUGGGGCUUCACAGUAGAGGAUUCUCCAGCUCUAAAAUGUCUACCUACCAUGGAACUAUAUUGUUUAGACCCAGACAGAUUAAGAAAAUUUGAAACAUAAGUAGCUUUGUCCAAUAUUUCCUGCAGUGUUGUUCCUACAGGAUUCCCCCUUUUCAUUUAUCAAUAAGAGAUUUCAAAGAAUGGUGGGCGCAUUCUAUAAUCGCCUGACCAGCUGGAGAAUGUGGGAUUCCAGUAAUAUGUUCAAUUCCCCAAUCCUGCAAAAAUAAGAGAAAACGGUGAGAAACAUAAGCUGAUCCAUUGUCUGUCUUUAUCUUCUGGGAACCCCCAUGGUUGCAAAACAUUGCAAAAACUGUUUCACAACAUCCUGGGCCCAUUCCCCGGAAUGAACAGUGGCUAUUAAAAACCCAGAGAAGGUAUUGAUAGAAAUGUGGACAUACUUAAGUCAUGCAAAGGAAGAAAUGUGUGUGACAUCUGAUUGCCACAAGUCAUUUGCAUUUAAACCUCUAGGAUUAGUUCCAGGCAAAACAGGUAAUGGAGAAAGCCGCUGACAAUCCAGGCAUGCCCGAAUUAUGUCCUGAGCUUGUUCAGCUGUUAGAGAAAAAUGUUUCCGUAAGGAGUAUGCAUUUUGAUGAAAAAAUUCAUGAGCCCAUUUGGCUUGCUCAAAAUGCCGAGGAGAAACUGGAGCCAUUGUAAAUCGAUCUGCUAUUGCAUUACCUUCAGCAAGAGGUCCUGGUAGGUUAGCGUGAGAUCGAAUAUGGAUGACAAAAUAGAAAUAUUGUCUCAUUUUUUAAAUCUGUGCCAGUUUUAACAAUAAAUCAAAUAACUGUUUGUUGUCCACCUCCCGUAUAAAAGCAGAUUCUAAAUGCUGAAUAAUACCCGUGACGUAUGCAGAAUCUGCAACUAUAUUAAGAGGUUCCCUGGAAAAGAAUUCAAAAGCACGAACUGCUGCAGCUAAUUCCACAAUUUGUGUAGACCCAGAUAGAUGCAAAACAUCUGAGGCCCAUUCUUCACAGUCUGUUUGUCGCCAAACAACUGCAACUUUACCUGUUUUACCAGAACCAUCAAUAAAUACAGUACGUGCAUUUUGCAAAGGAACAGAACUCAACAAAGAUUGUGGUUGGAGAGGUAAGCAGUGUAAAGAACCUAAUAAAUGAUGACGUGGCAGAGAAUGCAAAACAGCAUUAGUAUAAUCAGCCAAGUGUCAUGGUUUUAGCUGGGAUAGAGUUAAUUUUCUUCACUCUAGCUGGUAUAGUGCUGUGCUGUGAACUUAGCAUGGAAAAAAAAAUGUUGAGAUAACACACAGAUGUUUUGGGCUGUUGCUGGGUAGCGCUUGUACUAGUCAAGGACAUGUCUAGCUUCCCAUGCUCUGCUGGGUGCACAAGAAGCUGGGAGGGGAGGGGGCACAGCUAAGAGAGCGGAUUCAAACUGACCAAAGGGAUAUUCCAUAUCAUGUAACGUCAUGCCCAGUAUGCUACCUGGGAGGAGCUGGCCAGGGGAGGGAGGAAGCAAUCAUGGCUCGGGGACGGGCAGCAUCGGUCGGCAGGUGGUGAGUGGUUGUAUCGUUCGUGUUUCUGUGGGAUUUUUUCCCUUUUUUCCCUUUCCCUUCCUUUUCCAUUUUAUUAUAUUAACAUUAUUGUCAUUAUUAUCAUAAUCAUUUAUCAUUAUCAUUUUAUUGUAAUCAUUAAACUGUGUUUAUCUCAAC